Oreochromis aureus is the source of this 1959-nucleotide long non-coding RNA. Lineage: Eukaryota; Metazoa; Chordata; Actinopteri; Cichliformes; Cichlidae. The record is from Ensembl.
ACGCGUUCAAAAUAAUCUUUUAUUUUGAAAGUGUCAUUUGAUGCCCCGAUGGUUCAGAUUCUCUUCCGGUGUAAACAGAAAAACUACUUCUUACUUGUGCGUCAGCGGAGACGGAGGAGCGCGAUGUGGCCGCAGGGUUAGUUCAGAGAGAUUAAAGGCGAUCAGCUGGAUUUCCUUCAUGAUGAAGAUGAAGAUGUGUGUGCUGUUUGUGAUCCUCGCUUUCGUGUCCCAGCAUGCAUCAGGGGUGGAGGUGUUUGAGGCCGAGGAGUCUGUCCUGCUGCCCUGUAAGCUUGUUGUUCCUAAGGAUCAUGCAAUCGUGUGGAAACGUGAAGAUCUGACUUCUCAGAUCGUUCACGCCAUUGUGGAGGGAAAAGAUGAUCUUAGGAACCAAAACCCUCAUUACCGCAACCGAACAUCAAUGAGAGCCCUGCAGACUGGAGACCUCAGCCUCACUCUGAGGAACCCCACGUUCACUGACAGUGGGACCUACACCUGUGCCACCCGCAUCCAUGGAGAGGACAAGGAGAAAACUCAAGCCCAGCUGAAGGUCAAAGAACGUCCUGUCUGGCCCAAACUCCUCCCAGCUGUCCUGGUUCCUGUGCUUCUCCUCGGUGCUGUCAUUAUUUUCCUCCUGUAUCGUGUGACACAAAGAGAGAAGCUCAUAACAGUGGGUCAGCUGACACCACUGGAGGUGAUGGAGGGGGCGCCGUCUGUCCUGCUGCCCUACACACACACAUGCUGUCUGGGUGAGGUUCUCAAAGUGGAGUGGAUCUUUGUGACGAAUGAAAACAAGAUGGUGUGUGUGUUUGACAACGGUCAUAUCAAACAUGACCAACAACAUAAGGAUUACAGAGAGCGCGCAGAGAUGGAGUCAUUCCCACCCAAGGAGAAGAAGACAGACCAGCUGAAUCGGCCUGAAGUUGACCUCAGUCUGACCCUGAGGAACCCCGUCUGUGCAGAUGGAGGAGUUUACCUCUGCAUCAUCCACGACAAGGCUGUGAACACCAUGAAACUCAAGCUAGUGCCGCUCCUGGUCAGAGGUUCUUGGUCAUCCAGGUCAUCGUAGUCUAAGGAGCUUGGAAGGAAACCAAACAAUGAAGCCAUCUAUGUCCACUGUGAACGACCAUCUUUGAACAGAGGGCGGGGAGAACUGUCAUCCAGGGAAGGACGGAUGUUGUUUUUGUUUUGCGUUUUAAUGUGAAGUGUGUUUAUUUAUUUUAUAUUGCAUGUUUUGGUUAUAUUUUGUGCAGUGUUUUAUUUAUAUUGCAUGUUUUGGUUACACCGUCAAUCUGUCCUGGAGAGACUCCGCCUUUUCCCAUUUUACUGAUUGGACACACCUGAGAGAAAAGGAGUGAGUGGUAACACAGACAGGCUCGGAGAGCUUGGCGUGAAGCGAGCCAGGAGGAUACAGCGCGGAUACGCAAGGACGCAGGGCGAGGUGUCCGACUGCUUCAGCAACUGGAGGCCAGAUUUCGCGUCUGCGGAAACUAGAGGCGGCGAGGUGGGCCGGUGCCGAUUGGCGAUUACAAAGAAGCAGCGGGCAGAGUUAAGAGCUCUGCCCACUCGUGGUAAGUCUUUUGACUUGUCCCCGUUAAUGAAUGAUAGCUGCCGAAAAGAGUAGUGACUGCCGCUGCCUUUCUUCCUUUAGCGCACCGGGGCGCAGAACGCGAAGAAGGAGACGAGGACGCCGCCGGGUUUCCCUCCUGCACCGCUUCACUGGAUUUUUAAAUUUUUAGUGACUUCUAUACCGUGGCGAUCGCCACUGGACUUUUAAUCUUGUGUUAUUGAUGUUCAUGGUGUGUUCUCCCCUGGCCAGGGCUGUUUUAAUCUAUUUUACAUUUUUUUUACUGUUUAAAUGUAAUAAAUUAUAUUUUAUCUUUACAGUUUUUAAAUUUGUUCUGCAUUCCCUUGGCUGCCCCACUGCUCUGUCCGUUUUAGGAGGGUUUCUCUCUUUUUAAU